UACGUAGGGUGCAAGCGUUGUCCGGAAUUAUUGGGCGUAAAGAGCUCGUAGGCGGUUCGGCAAGUCACGUGUGAAAUCUCCACGCUCAACGUGGAGGCGCCACGUGAGACUGCUGUGACUCGAGUCCGGUAGGGGAGCGUGGAAUUCCCGGUGUAGCGGUGAAAUGCGCAGAGAUCGGGAGGAACACCCGUAGCGAAGGCGGCGCUCUGGGCCGGUACUGACGCUGAGGAGCGAAAGCGUGGGGAGCAAACAGG
This 254-nucleotide ribosomal RNA is filed under the name uncultured bacterium. RNAcentral describes it as "partial 16S ribosomal RNA". It matches the Rfam family "Bacterial small subunit ribosomal RNA", at positions 524 to 776 of the family's 1533-position model. The record is from RNAcentral.